This 4625-nucleotide small RNA is filed under the name Pongo abelii (Sumatran orangutan). RNAcentral describes it as "processed transcript". The record is from RNAcentral. Lineage: Eukaryota; Metazoa; Chordata; Mammalia; Primates; Hominidae.
UUUCCCCCUCUGUCCAUGGUGUAUCUGGUGGGGACACCGUCCAGCCCCAUUACAGAAAGUUUAUGAGAAAAUGUCCAGCCUCACGUGUCCUCACGGGCUUGGUCAUAGCACUCAAGCCAGCUCUGCAGCCGCCAUGCGUGUGUGCCAGAGUGUACUCUGGAGUGUGCAGGCUGUGUGCUGCGCUGGGACUCUUUGGACGAAUCUGACCUGUGGUUCCCACUGCACAGUGACAUGCUGGGGGAAUGCAGAACGAGGGACUAGAAUGGUCUUUACCAAGGCCUUGCUUUGUUUCGAGUCUGCCAGCUUCUUGGUGGCUGGGUCUGGGAAGGGGCGGGAGCACCUAGGUGUUGCAAUGCCAGGUCCAUCCGGGCACACUGCCUGGCCUGGCGUGACUUGGACACACACUGACCCCAUGCCAGGGCACUGCUGGGCAGACUGGUUUCUCCUGCCCUGCCCAGUGGCCUGGGGUCAGGCUUGCCCUCCCGCUGACAGGCCACCCUGUGUCACAGUGUGUCCCAGAUGUCACCUGCCUCCCUGCACUUCUAUGUGCCGUUGUUCCAUUAUUUGCUUAAAUGCUCUCUUUAAAUUGAUGCAUUGCAAGAUUGAGAAUUUGUUUCAGUGCUUUACAAACAGCAUUUUCAGUUGCCAUGGAAAGGCUAUGCUGGUAAGGCUGGGAUGUGGGAGAGAGCUGGUAGGGACCCCUGCCCGGUGACAUGUCCAGAUGUGAUCAGGAGGGUCAGAGAGGACGGAGACAAGGACAGUUUCUCAGGUGUGACUAGGGUAACUUAGUGCCCCCCUGAGGGUACCUCGCUCUGGCAGGAGCCUGGGCCCCUCCUCUGAGGACUCCUGCAUUUCACCUCUCUGGGCUGGGGGUCCACAGGGCACUGAUGUGUCCUGGGAUUUGAAAGCCCCAUCUAUGUCUGCGUCCAGUGGCUGAGCCAGUACUCCCUGGGGCCACUGAGAGGGGUCCGGGCAUGGUCCACUGUGUCUGGGGGUUCAGCAGCCCCUGGAUUGAACUCCAUAAAGCAAGUGCAAGAUCAAGGAAAGGACAAUGGAAGUGACCUUUAGACAAACGUUUGGGCAUCACAAUCACUGUCUUUCAUAGGGCAGCCUAGCCUUAGUUCUGUUGGGGUGGUGUUGGGGCAUGGUCUGCUGUGGACGCUGCUGCCCAGGGCAUGUUCUGCGUGUGUGGAGCUAUUGCAAGUCUGGUGUUGCCAGGCUUCUUAAUGUCUGCCAGAUGUGUGGGGAGAAUUUGUGUAUCGUGUGUGAUGAUGUGCAUUUUCUUGAUUUCUAAUGAAUUUGAGUAUCCCUUCUAUAAUUAUGAAGAGCUGAUGAACAGCUCUUGGUUGGCUCUAAAGCUGCCUGUGAAUAUCAUAUAUUUGUCCCCACUCUCUCUGCUUUGCACCAGCUCUGAAAAAGGGCAGCCCCUGGACCUUGUCUAGGACCUAGACCCAGCAAGCCUCUGGUGCUGCUGGCCAGGCUCUUGUCUCUCUUGUCUCCAGUGUCCUGAGCCUUGCCUGCCUCCUCCUGGCUCUUAACUGGCUCCUCCACCCAUGUGGAAAGUUUCCUCCCUCCAGCACCAUCCUCAGAACUCAACAGUCUAGGCCUACUUCUGAUCCCAUAUCAACGACCAAGAAGAGAAAAAUGGUGUUCAUUCUCUCAAAGAUCUAACAGCCUAGUGGGGUGGCAGCAGGGGGACUGACAGCUGUUCCGGCAUAGCAUGUGCCAUAAACUAGAUUCAUGGGUGGCAUCAGGAAAGGCUUCACAGAGCAGGAGGUGGCUGAACUGAGUCUUGAGGGAUGAAUAGGAGUUUGCCACAUGGAUAUGGGAAGGCCUUUCAGGCAAAGGCUGUAGGUCUUUACAGAUCGUAGCUUGUUCAGAAAACCAAUCAUCCAUUCAUGCACUUAACAACCAUGUGUUGAGCACCUCCUGUGUUCCAGGCAUGGUUCUAGAUGCUGGGGACACAGCAGUGAGUGAGAAGGUCUCUGACCCCAUAGAGCUAGCAUGCUGGAGGGGUCAAGAGUAGAGGAGAGAGACAAAGAACAAGAAAGAUGAUCACCAAGGAAAUGACACAGUCAGUUAGGUGCUACAUGCCAGGCGAAGAAUGGGUGAAGGUGGCAUGGGGAGUUAGGUGCUACAUGCCAGGGGAAGAAUGGGUGAAAGUGGCAUGGGGUUGGGGCAGAUGAGCAGUAGGAGACCACACAUAUAUAGAAGCUUCGAGGGAGAGACAGAGCACCUUACAGGCCAGUGGGGAUGGGUAGGCUAUCAGGGAUGGCACCGGGACGAGCAACUCCUUAUAUGGAAAACAAUCAAAUUAGAUCCCUCUUCACAGUGUGAACCCUUCCUGGAACAUGCCAGGGUACUGAAAAAUGAAACCUAGUAUUUAUGCUAAAAUGUGGGCUGGCCCGUGCUGCACACACGCCCCCAAAGGCUGGUGGUGCCCACUUGCUGUGCAUCUGUGCACCUUCUCGUGGAAGUCUCAUUCCAUCAAACCACAUUAUGGGUUAUUUCACAGAUGAGGACACAGAGAGUGGAGGUCCUAUGUCCCAGGUCACACACAGCCAGUCAGCAUUAGAGCUGAGAUACCAAGCUGUCAGCCACACAUGUGCACUCACCUGGAACAUCUGUGGAGCUGUUAGAAUCGCUGCCACUUUUCGUGAAACUGAAGUGCAUCUUUGGGUUUGCAACUAAAGAAACCAGCUGCUACAAUGUCACUAACAUAGGAUUCAAAAGCCCUUCGGAUUUCUGGCAGUCUGUGCACAGCACCCUGCCUCGGGAGUUGGCUCGUUGUCUAAUAUUUAAUACGUCCCGAAACUUGGCUUUAUUUUCAGCCGCCUUUGCCUUCAUUGUGGUGAAAGAUAGUGCGGGUGACUCAGAUGUGGUGGUGCAGGAGCUCAAGUCCAUGGUGGCCACCAAGAUCGCCAAAUAUGCUGUGCCUGAUGAGAUCCUGGUGGUGAAACGUCUUCCAAAAACCAGGUCUGGGAAGGUCAUGCGGCGGCUCCUGAGGAAGAUCAUCACUAGUGAGGCCCAGGAGCUGGGGGACACUACCACCUUGGAGGACCCCAGCAUCAUCACGGAGAUCCUGAGUGUCUACCAGAAGUGCAAGGACAAGCAGGCUGCCGCUAAGUGAGCUGGCGCCUUGUGGGGCUCUUGGGAUGGGCGGGCACCCAAGCCCUGGCUUGUCCUUCCCAGAAGGUACCCCUGAGGUUGGCGUCUUCCUAAGUCCCAGAAGCAGCCCCCACCCCACACAUGACCCACACCGCCCUCACGUGAAGCUGGGUGAGAGCCCUUUCUCCCAUCCGUUGGAGGUCCCAGGAAUGUCACCCAUGGACAGGCUAUGCGACAUGGCUAGGGCUGGUUCUGCCAUCCUGAGUUUGGUUUCGUGGAAUGAAAAGGUAUUGCCAUCUCCACUCCUCUCACAGGAAGGUGAGGCCCUGGGAUAGCGCACCUGCUCAGAUAACACAGGGCUAGUUAGCUAGUAGCAACCGUGUUUUCUCCAGAUCUGUCUAGAUACAAAGGGCAGAAAUCUUAUUUUCAUACUUUUAUAUUGUGGAAGAACAACAUGCAACACUCACAUGUAGUGUGUGGAUUUACUUGAACAUGUUCUUUUUAACAUGUAGUUAGAAAAAUCUCCUUUUUUGCCUCUACUGGUGAGGAAACAUGAGGAUCAGAGGCCACAUUUUUAAUUAUUGUCUGAAUUGGAGAUGUUUGUACCUCUGUCUAAACAGUUCCCUUGAGAACUUCCAAGCCUCUGGCAUCCUUUCCUGGUGUUUCUCCUGUGCUUGGUUGUGUAUAAUGGAGCUAACUCCUAAGCAGUGGGGUGAAUGUGGCCACCUUAGUUCUGAAGCUACUCCAGUUAUGUUCUGUUUCUUCAAGCUGUGAUCCAGAAAGAUUUUUGUGCCCCCAGAUGCCUCUUGAUAGGAGAGGCAACAUACUCCAAAUAGUUGGGUUCUUCAGGGAAGCUAUUAGAAACUCAGGUGACUUGUUAGAGCACUAACUUGGUCAGAGCCAAAUCCUGGCAAACGCUGCCUGACCUUCACUCUGUGGUUGGGGCGGUGAGAACCACUGAGGUCCAAUGAUGAGACUUGGAGUUCUGGAUCCAGUCUCUCUCUGUUUUAAUGUGACUUAGGUGCUGUCAACAUUAGCAAGAUAGUGGAAAUCACGACGCCAGUGGGUGCUUACCUCCCUGCUAGGCAUGCAGGGGCUGGCGGUUGGCAGGGGAAGGAGGCCCAGUGAGCUGGGUCUCUUAGGGCAGGGAGAGUUUGUCCUCUUUGCCCCACAGUCUACCCUUCAGGGCCUUGUGGCAGUGCCAGUGUUCGGGGGGUGUCUGGGCUACUGAGUACCCACUCGGUCGUGGCUGUGCUGGCCUCUUGGGUGAGUGAGCCUGUGAUGCCCAGGAGGUGGUGUUGGCUGCAGCGUACACAAAUACUGAGUGGUGGUCUUUUGUUACAGGCUUAGCAACAAAGCUGUGCCCUGGGCAUGGGGGGCUGUAGUGUAGCUACAGUUGUGUGUUUGUGAAAUGGCUUAGCUUUCCAUGUUGCUGAGAGGAACCUGGACAUGGUCCCGGGCAUCUGAAUGAUCUGUAGGGGAGGGAGUUCAAAUAAAGCUUUAUUUUGUUCAUUUCC